GACAAGACGGGAGCGCUGUACAGGGCCAU
RNAcentral lists this small RNA (29 nucleotides) under Bombyx mori (domestic silkworm). RNAcentral's name for it is "ovarian small RNA-15338". The record is from RNAcentral. Lineage: Eukaryota; Metazoa; Arthropoda; Insecta; Lepidoptera; Bombycidae.